RNAcentral lists this ribosomal RNA (478 nucleotides) under uncultured bacterium. Its description in RNAcentral is "partial 16S ribosomal RNA". It matches the Rfam family "Bacterial small subunit ribosomal RNA", at positions 28 to 507 of the family's 1533-position model. The record is from RNAcentral.
GAUUAACGCUGGCGGCGUGCAUAACACAUGCAAGUCGAACGAUGAAACUCAUUAGAUUUCUUCGGAAUGAAAAUGAAUGGAUUAGUGGCGAACGGGUGAGUAACGCGUGAGUAACCUGCCUUACACAAGGGGAUAGCCUCUGGAAACGGAGAAUAAUACCCUAUGAAACCAGACAAUCGCAUGAUAAUCUGGUCAAAAUGUUUAGUGGUGUAAGAUGGACUUGCGUCUGAUUAGCUAGUUGGUGAGAUAAAAGCUCACCAAGGCAACGAUCAGUAGCCGGCUGGAGAGAGUGUACGGCCACAUUGGGACUGAGACACGGCCCAGACUCCUACGGGAGGCAGCAGUGGGGAAUUUUGCACAAUGGGGGAAACCCUGAUGCAGCGACGCCGCGUGAUUUAGAAGGCCUUCGGGUUGUAAAAAUCUUUUGUAUAGGAAGAAAAUGACAGUACUAUACGAAUAAGGUCCGGCUAAUUACGUG